CGCCGCCGCAGCCGCCACCGCAGUGCCGCGUAGGGAUUGUGCUGCCGUGACCGGGUCUCCCCCCACCACACUUGCUGAUGAGAUCGGACGAAAAUGAAGCUCGUUGGUUGCCUGAAAGAUUGGUGUGGUGUAUGGAGCAGAGAGAUGCUGGUCCUGAUGUUGCUGAUGACCAUCCAGAAACACCAGCAAGAAACCUAUUGGGCCUAUGUUCCUGAUCCACCAAUUUUACAUUCCGCAACUUGGGAAGGAAAAGAAAUUGUGGUCCCAAUUAAUGAUACAAGGCAUUUAGAUCGACCUGUCACCCAAGAGUUCCAGAUUGCUCACAGUUUUUCUUAUAUUGGAUAUGGUAAAGGGGUUCCUGUAUAUUUUGCAAAAGUAUAUUACUUUGUUUUUAUUUGUUUGUUUUGUU
Non-coding RNA from Peromyscus maniculatus bairdii (prairie deer mouse), 409 nucleotides. The record is from RefSeq and is a predicted model, not a curated record. NCBI's taxonomy places the organism in Eukaryota, Metazoa, Chordata, Mammalia, Rodentia, Cricetidae.